Molecule: long non-coding RNA, 279 nt
Organism: Siniperca chuatsi (mandarin fish)
Lineage: Eukaryota; Metazoa; Chordata; Actinopteri; Centrarchiformes; Sinipercidae
Exons: 3
Source: RefSeq, a predicted model, not a curated record
CCAGGUCGUCGUCUUGUUGGUUGCGUCUUCCAGCUUCUUCAUCACCGUCUGGCUCACACAAGGAGACAAAACAUACAGCACAUUAUUAUUAACAGCUACCCAUCCAGCAGUCGUAUAGUGACACCAUGUGGUGAUGAAAGUUCUUUCUCAGCCACUGCUCACUGAGGAGUCUGCAGGUUCCUACUGAGCCAUACUUUGAUAGUUGAUUUAGAACAAUCACAUGACUCUUGCGGACCAUUGGCUACUGCUCAUCCCUAUACUACCACCACCACCACCACC